This 451-nucleotide ribosomal RNA is filed under the name uncultured bacterium. RNAcentral's name for it is "bacterial SSU rRNA". It matches the Rfam family "Bacterial small subunit ribosomal RNA", at positions 28 to 466 of the family's 1533-position model. The record is from RNAcentral.
GAUGAACGCUAGCUACGGGCUUAACACAUGCAAGUCGAGGGGAAACGACAUCGAAAGCUUGCUUUUGAUGGGUGUCGACCGGCGCACGGGUGAGUAACGCGUAUCCAACCUGCCCACCACUUGGGGAUAACCUUGCGAAAGUAAGACUAAUACCCAAUGAUAUCUCUAGAAGACAUCUGAAAGAGAUUAAAGAUUUAUCGGUGAUGGAUGGGGAUGCGUCUGAUUAGCUUGUUGGCGGGGUAACGGCCCACCAAGGCAACGAUCAGUAGGGGUUCUGAGAGGAAGGUCCCCCACAUUGGAACUGAGACACGGUCCAAACUCCUACGGGAGGCAGCAGUGAGGAAUAUUGGUCAAUGGGCGAGAGCCUGAACCAGCCAAGUAGCGUGCAGGAUGACGGCCCUAUGGGUUGUAAACUGCUUUUAUAAGGGAAUAAAGUGAGUCUCGUGAGACU